Molecule: RNA transcript, 5414 nt
Organism: Acipenser ruthenus (sterlet)
Lineage: Eukaryota; Metazoa; Chordata; Actinopteri; Acipenseriformes; Acipenseridae
Gene name: dysbindin-like
Exons: 10
Source: RefSeq, a predicted model, not a curated record
AGUAAACCGUGGAAGGAGGGUAUUUACUUGUUGGAGAAAGUGUUUGUAUUUCUAUGGGUUGCUCGGAGUCGUUGAACAUGGAUUUGUAAUCAGAACUGGACAUUCUGUAGCUGCUUCAACACAGUGAUAUAACUGACAUGAAAAUUAAACCCGAGAGACAGAAAAGACACGAACCAUGUUUGAUAAUUUCAGAGAGAAGUUGCUGAUUGUGCAGCAGGAUUUUACAACGGGGAUCAAGACGCUGAGUGACAAGUCAAAAGAAGCAAAGAAGACGCUUAGAGACAAGUCAAAAGAAGCAAAGAUCAAGAAGAGGAUUGAGGACCAUCAACCAAAAUUUCCAGCAGGAGUGGAGCUACUUAAUAGGUAUGAAGAUACCUGGGUGACCCUUCACAAGCGAGCCAAGGAGUCUGCAAUAGCUGGCGAGGCUGUGGAUGAGGAAGUGGUGAUGCUUUCUGCGCACUGGGAGAAGAGGAGGAAUGGGCUCUUGGACCUGCAGGAACAGCUCCAGCAAAUCCCAGCCUUCCUAGCACACCUGGAAUCCAUCACUUCCAAAAUAUCCCACCUGGAGGCGGACUUUGAGGAGGUGGAGAGCCACUUGAUAAACCUUGAAGACCUGUGUGGCCAGUGUGAGCUGCAGGGCUAUAAGCAGUUCCAGAUGCUGCAGGUGGAAAACUACAAAGAGAAAAAAAGGAAAGAACUUGAAACCCUCAAAGCUGAGCUGGAUGCAGAGCAUGCUCAGAAGGUGUUUGACAUGGAAAACACUCAGCAGCUGAAGCUGAAAGAACGGCAGAAGUUUUUUGAAGAGGCUUUUCAGCAAGAUAUGGAGCAGUACUUAUCAACCGGGUACCUACAGAUAGCAGAGAGACGAGAGCCAAUAGGGAGUAUGUCUUCUAUGGAGGUGAAUGUAGACAUGCUGGAGCAGAUGGACCUCAUGGACAUGUCUGACCAGGAGGCACUAGACGUCUUUCUAAACUCAGGGGGAGAAGACAAUAGCGUGGCCUCACCAAUGCUGGGUAUGGCCCCAUUUCGCCACUAGAUGGCAGUAGAGCACUUGGGCACUGGACUACCGUCAGUAUGUUGCAGCCUACACUCUUUAACUGUUUCACUGCAAAGCAAGAUAUCUGCUCGCUAAGUACCUGUAGUUGCACCUUGUGCUUUUUUAGUGGCUGUAACAGUAUGUAUUACAGUUAUAGCAUGGGGGACACAUUAAUGGCUCAAAAGUGUUCCUAUCACCUGAAACACAGGAAGUGACCUAAUAAUGCUUUACCUGAGCUGUGUGGAAAUAAUGUUGUGGUGUUACCGGAUGUGUCUGAAAAACAGAAAGCCUUGCUUAAUUAUCCUCUCAAGCCUUAAAAAACAGUGAAAGAUGUGAUAUGAUAUGUAUGUUUCAUUACUAAAAAAAAAACAAACACAAAAAAAAAACAGCAGCGCAAUAUAGGGGAGCCACAGUAAUUCGCAGUGAAAAGGCUUGUGCUUUAAACCGGAACACCUCCUUAACCCUUUGAGUAGUACAAAAGUACCGGUACGUUCGCUGCUCUCUGGUCCCCAGGGAGUAUGAACGUACCGGUACGUUCUGCAACUUUUAACUUGAAUUACUGAGCCUACAAAACCCCUGAUCACAUAAUAUUGUAACACUAGGUUUCUGUAACACCUUUUAUUGGUCUUGUGCGCCCUCUGCCAGAUAUUGACUGAAUUACAUAUAAUAAACCCAUUCACAAAAAUGUCAACAGUGUUUGUAAACCGGCGAAAAUCGCUCAAUGAGAAAGAAGUAUUAAUAAUAAUAAUACUGAAUUCAGAUUCCGAUUUAAAUUCAAAUACAUACAAUUCUUCCACUGAAUCGGAUGUCAGCGAGUGUGUCAGUGAAGACAUAAGCGAAGAAUAUUUAUCAUCAACAUCAAGUGACAGCGAAGAGGCGGCGCCAACCUCUGUGCGUUGCUCCAUGCUUCAGCAUUAGACCAGGGGUGGGCAAUCCUGGUCCUGGAGGGCCGGUGUCCCUCCUAGCUUUUGUUCCAACUGUGCUCUAAUUUACUUAAUUAGACCAAUAAUUGGUAAUAAUCAGUACAAUUAAGUAAUUUAGAGCACAGUUGGAACAAAAGCCAGGAGGGACACCGGCCCUCCAGGACCAGGAUUGCCUACCCCUGCAUUAGACACUCUCACUCCCUCCGUCCCCACAACCUGUUUACCCGGAUAUGAUUUAUUCAUCUCUCUCUCUCUCUCUCUCGCCCUUUUUGUUUUGUUUUGUUAGGGCAUGUUGUUGUGGUUGUUCCACCGCCUUGUUUAUUGCCUACAUGUUAUUUUUUAGUCAAAACCUUUCCCUAUAACUAAAUAAAAAUAUAUAUUUAUUUGUUUUAAUUAUUUACAGUAACAAUGAAUUGUCUGUAUUUCGUCAGUAUUCAUUACAUACAGACAUAGCUUUCAGCUUGUUUGUACGCUUUACUCGUAAUAAUGAAGCGCAUGCAAAAAAAAAAAAAAUAAAUAAAAAAAAAAAAAAAACAAACUCACUCCCGUAGGACCGGCAGUGCAUUUUAGAACUCACUACUCAAAGGGUUAAAACACAGUUAGCAGCUUUAAAUGAAUGAAAUCAUUAGGUUAUUAUCAUAACCCUGGUUCCCUGAAAUAGAAAUGUCACCAUUACCGAAUGGGGAUUUACCUCCUAAAGACCCGAAAUCUGAAUAAAUAUAUCAAAGCUGCUCAGCUGAGCCUCUGUGAUGCAGUCAUGCCGGCCCUCAAGGGUAUAAAAGGACUUCACGCACAGAUCUCCACGUCAUUUUUCCUUCAAGCCUGCAGCAAUCACUGAUGCAGCAACCUUGAAGGUUAAUGGUUACAUUUAUAUUUCAGGGAACCUGUGUUAUGAUAAUAACCUAACGUUCCCUUUCAAGUACAAAAUGUAACGAUUACCGAAUGGGUGAGUGUACCCAAGCCGAGGCUGCCUUGUGCGUUACAAUUUGUGACCCCGGUAACAAGUAGCUAGGGCUAAAAAAUUGAGGGAGAAACUCACCUCUAUGUCUGUGUUGUAAGGGUCGACUGAGAAGCCGCCCUUAGCACUCCAGUUCCAAAACCAGGUAAAGAUAUGGGGAGUAGCCCACACCACUGCAUUGCAGAUGUCCUUCACAGAUGCACCCUGAAAUAAAGUUGCAAAGCUGCCAUGCCCCUGGUUGAAUGGGCAGUGGGCUUUUCUGGAGGGGGCAAGUUGGCUCAUAGGCAGUCCUGACUGUAUCCGUCAUCCAUUCGGACAGCCUCUGUUUAGACAGGCCUUGACCAUGGGACCGCCUCAUAACAGACAAAAAAUAGUUUGGACUAUUUUUUUAAAAAUGACGAUGUUGAAUGUGAUUUUCAGAUACUUUGCACAUUUCCAAUAUAUGUAUCUUAAUUAUUAGCCUUGCUCAGCACCGAGCUAGUACCAGAUAUCUUGCGAGGCCAGAGUUUCAUGGUUCUGGCUCGGCUCGGCUCGACAAGACAAAAUGACAAGUGUGAAACUAGCCGUACCGUGAGGGCUUGGCUCAGGUGUGCAAGUGAGCAGCUUUGAUAUAUUUAUUUAGGUAAAUACCCAUUCGAUAAUGGUUACAUUUCGUACUUGAAAGGGAGCUUGAUUCAGUUUAGGGUGGCUGUUUUUACAAAGAGGCAUUUUUAUUAUUUGUUUAUUUAGCAGACGCCUUUAUCCAAGGAGACUUAGAGACUAGGGUGUGUGAACUAUGCAUCAGCUGCAGUCACUUACAAUUAUGUCUCACCCAAAAGAUGGAGUACAAGGUUAAGUGACUUGCUCAGGGUCACACAGUGAGUCAGUGGCCGAGGUGGGAUUUGAACCGGGGACCUCCUGGUAUUUUUGGAGGCAGCAUGGCUUUUCGGUAGUUUAAAUGCUAGUGUUCUUUCAAAAAUUAUUUGUUCAGGAAAUAUGUAAUGUGGCUUGACGGUGUAAUUAAAGUUGCGAUCUGCUUGGCUGGACAUUUUUAAAUCGUUUGAGAUGCAGACAAAUUCAAGUCUGUAUUCUGCAUUUAUUUUUGUGUUUAACAGCACUGUAACAAGCUAUUUGGGAGCCAGAAGUUAGUGGUUAAUCUAGAAAGGUGUUAACCAUUGAGGGAAUAUUGUGUGUUUAAAAACAUACAUGGCAGAAAUAAAAUACACCAGACAAACUUUUGUUGCAGUGUGCACACUUGUGGAUUUAAGAAUUGAAAAUCUUUUAUAGACAAUACACUAUUUUAUUGACAGGAUACCAUAGUCCAUGCAUAUUUAUAAACUGUUAUACGCCUGAUCUAUGGCCAACCAGUGAGUACUGCAUUUGUUCAUAUUAUUAUUGUUUUCUGUAUGUUCUGUCAUGUGCGCCCCUGAAAUCGCAAGAAUGGCAGAAUGCAGAAGUGCAGGAUUAAAACUCUGCUUUAUUUAGGGAACCACCUGUCCUGGUUUUGAAUAUGUGUUCAUUUUGCUAUAGGUAUACAGUAAAUCAAGGUGACAUAUCGAGCCAUGUCAUUAAAGAAACAGCUGUAAUGUGUUAUUACAAUGCAUGUUACAGAUAGGGAGACAAUUAUUGGUGAUGGAUGGGUUGAAAGCCUACAUUCAAUAUACUGCAUCUACUGCCACCACAGUAAUGGGAGGCUGUAUUACAUUUUCUGUUGAGAGAAUGUGAUGCUAUGGCAGCACAUUUCUUUUUUUAUUAAAUUCCAACAAAAAAGUUUUACAUCUUAGGAACGCAUUAUAGUAUAUCAAACUCUAUAUGGUUAAUUUCUAUCUCUCUAGAGCAGGGGUCCAACCCUGGUCCUGGAGGGCCCUUAUCCAGCAGGUUUUAUAGGGGUCUUUACAUCAUCAGUGGCUAAAGAUCUGGAACACAUGUUAAUCUUGACUAAUUAAACCAAUAAUUGGUUCAAUUAAGUAAGAUUGGUUGAAACGAAAACCAGCAGUAGCUCUCCAGGACCAGGGUUGGAGACCCCUGUUCUAGAGAAAGAUAGAGAUAGACAGCUCUUUCAAAUUGCAUUUGGGUAUAAUCAGAAACGUAUUUACAAUAUUUUUUUACCUGGAUUAAAUGUACAAUAAGGACCCUCUAUCCGUGUGCACACAGGUUUAAAAUACAGUGAAGUGGUAUGAUCGAACAGUUGUCACUAUAGACAGGUGAAACCUGAGCAAAAUGUGGAUAAUGCAUAUUGCUCUUUAUAGAUAGGUGGCAAAAACAGCACAGGGACAGUUAUCAGUUAAAGGAUAGACACUUUACAGUUUACAAAUAGACAGCCUUUUUUUAAUUGACCACAUCAGUGUUUGACGCAGCCUUUCUGCUUUGCCCAGGGCCGGAGACGGAUGCAUACCCCACACAGAUUACCCUGCAGGUACCAAGCCAGGCCGAGCCAAGACACAAACUGUCCUCACUGUCCUCCACAUGCACAGAUUCAGCCAGCCAGGCCAGCGAAGCGGGGAGCGAUUCCCCCAUC